Cimex lectularius (bed bug) is the source of this 73-nucleotide non-coding RNA. Lineage: Eukaryota; Metazoa; Arthropoda; Insecta; Hemiptera; Cimicidae. The record is from the annotation of a RefSeq genome assembly.
GUCAUGAUAGCUCAAGUGGUAGAGCAGUGGCGUCUUGAGCCGAAGGUUGUGGGUUCAAAUCCCGCUCGUGACA